AUUGAACGCUGGCGGCAUGCCUUACACAUGCAAGUCGAACGGUAACAGGUUAAGCUGCCGAGUGGCGAACGGGUGAGUAAUGUAUCGGAACGUGCCCAGUCGUGUGGGAUAACUGCUCGAAAGAGCAGCUAAUACCGCAUACGACCUGAGGGUGAAAGCGGGGGAUCGCAAGACCUCGCGCGAUUGGAGCGGCCGAUAUCAGAUUAGGUAGUUGGUGAGGUAAAGGCUCACCAAGCCGACGAUCUGUAGCUGGUCUGAGAGGACGACCAGCCACACUGGGACUGAGACACGGCCCAGACUCCUACGGGAGGCAGCAGUGGGGAAUUUUGGACAAUGGGCGCAAGCCUGAUCCAGCCAUGCCGCGUGCGGGAAGAAGGCCUUCGGGUUGUAAACCGCUUUUGUCAGGGAAGAAAAGGUUCUGGCUAAUACCUGGGACUCAUGACGGUACCUGAAGAAUAAGCACCGGCUAACUACGUG
RNAcentral lists this ribosomal RNA (477 nucleotides) under uncultured bacterium. RNAcentral's name for it is "partial 16S ribosomal RNA". It matches the Rfam family "Bacterial small subunit ribosomal RNA", at positions 30 to 507 of the family's 1533-position model. The record is from RNAcentral.